RNAcentral lists this ribosomal RNA (465 nucleotides) under Vreelandella stevensii. Its description in RNAcentral is "partial 16S ribosomal RNA". It matches the Rfam family "Bacterial small subunit ribosomal RNA", at positions 338 to 795 of the family's 1533-position model. Lineage: Bacteria; Pseudomonadati; Pseudomonadota; Gammaproteobacteria; Oceanospirillales; Halomonadaceae. The record is from RNAcentral.
CCUACGGGUGGCAGCAGUGGGGAAUAUUGGACAAUGGGCGAAAGCCUGAUCCAGCCAUGCCGCGUGUGUGAAGAAGGCCUUCGGGUUGUAAAGCACUUUCAGUGGGGAAGAAAGCCUUGGGGCUAAUACCCUCGAGGAAGGACAUCACCCACAGAAGAAGCACCGGCUAACUCCGUGCCAGCAGCCGCGGUAAUACGGAGGGUGCGAGCGUUAAUCGGAAUUACUGGGCGUAAAGCGCGCGUAGGCGGUCUGAUAAGCCGGUUGUGAAAGCCACGGGCUCAACCUGGGAACGGCAUCCGGAACUGUCAGGCUAGAGUGCAGGAGAGGAAGGUAGAAUUCCCGGUGUAGCGGUGAAAUGCGUAGAGAUCGGGAGGAAUACCAGUGGCGAAGGCGGCCUUCUGGACUGACACUGACGCUGAGGUGCGAAAGCGUGGGUAGCAAACAGGAUUAGAUACCCCGGUAGUC